GCUGACUUAAUAGCAGCAUACCGAAAUCAAAAUGAACGUUCGACCCACAAUUGCAAAGAAAACUGCGAAGAUUUGCUAACAGACAUUCUCAAAGAAACAAAAUAUGUAAACAUUUACUCUCAAUCAAAAACGACCGACAUACAGUAUGCCAUUCUAUUAGCUCUCAAGAAAGCACAUCAUAGCUCUUCGAAAUCGCCGCUAUCUCUUGCUUGGAGAUGGAACAAACUCGAUUUUGCUCAAAAUGAGAUACAGUUUCCAGAUCCGAUGUCUGCAUGCGAUGAAACCGAAUGUGUGACCAAUGUAAGCAAUUGUGUUAUGCAGUAACAAUACAAAUUAUUAAAUGGUUUCAAUAUAAAAUUCGCACAUAAGGAACAAAACACAAUUAAGUAAUGCGUAAAUUUUGGAAAUCA
Molecule: long non-coding RNA, 410 nt
Organism: Dreissena polymorpha
Lineage: Eukaryota; Metazoa; Mollusca; Bivalvia; Myida; Dreissenidae
Exons: 4
Source: RefSeq, a predicted model, not a curated record